RNAcentral lists this ribosomal RNA (253 nucleotides) under uncultured bacterium. Its description in RNAcentral is "partial 16S ribosomal RNA". It matches the Rfam family "Bacterial small subunit ribosomal RNA", at positions 524 to 776 of the family's 1533-position model. The record is from RNAcentral.
GACAGAGGCCCCAAGCGUUAGGCGGAAUCACUGGGCUUAAAGCGUGUGUAGGCGGACGCCUAAGUGUCUUGUGAAAUCCCACGGCUCACCCGUGGAACUGCUGGGCAUACUGGGCGUCUUGGGCCAACUAGGGGCAGCCGGAACAAGCGGUGGAGCGGUGAAAUGCGUAGAUAUCGGAAGGAACAUCAGUGGCGAAAGCGGCUUCCUGGACCAGUACCGACGUUCAGGCACGAAAGCGUGGGGAGCAAACAGG